Molecule: long non-coding RNA, 1423 nt
Organism: Parus major (Great Tit)
Lineage: Eukaryota; Metazoa; Chordata; Aves; Passeriformes; Paridae
Exons: 2
Source: RefSeq, a predicted model, not a curated record
CCGGAAGUGACGCGCGCUCGCCCUUGAGGCGCCGCGGGGGGCGCGGGGUGGGCCCUGUCCGUUCUGUUCGCGGGCUCCGCUCGCUGUCACCCCCGGGGCCGGAGCAGGCGGGGAGCCGGGGCCGUGCGCGUGUGGGUGUCGCGGAGGCCGCCCAUGGCAGCCAGGCAGCUUGUGCUGGCCUGGUAGCCCCCACAGCUAACGAGAGUGGUGAGGGGCUGGCGGCGCUAGAAGCGGGGCGCUGUCAGGGUUAACACGUGGGGGCAUUUGGUGAGGCUACGUGCCUUCUACCGCUUUGUCAUGCACUAAGAGUUGCAUCAGAGGAGCUCUGGAUGAAACGGGCCGGAAAAGUUAAUUGCGAAGAUGCUUUGCACUGUAAACACGGUGUGGCCAUCAGCUGUUCAGGACCGCUGCCUCCCAAAACCCAUUAACUAGUACACUUAGAGCAAAUCCUUAAAUGGAUGAUUAAUCCAGAUCACCUACUGCAUAGCGAUGAAAAUCUGUAUUUCAUGACUAAGCUGUGUCACUCCCAGUGCUCAGUAGGUACCAGUGUCCUGGUUUUGGCUGGGAUGGAGUUAAUUCCUCAAUAGCUAGGACAGUGCUGAGUUUUGCAUUCAGAAUAAAAAACCUGAUGUUCUGAGUUUUGCUAAGUUGCGUUUAUCCUGAAUCAAGGACUUUUUAGUUGUGUCUCAUCUUCUGCCGCUGAGAACGAAAAAACAUCUUGGGAGGGUGCACAGCCAUGAGAGCUGACCUGAACUGACCAGAGGGAUAUUCCAUACCAUAAGAACAUCAUGCCCAGUAUAACUGUGGGGAGCUACUUGCAAGUGAGGCCGAUCUGCAUUCAGGAAGGGAAUCUGGCAUUGGUCAGCGUGGGAAAACCAAUUUACCCAAGGAAGUUUUGCUGCUUGCAUCAUUAUAGUGGCACAGAUGCUAUUUGACUGUGAAGUCUCUCUCUGGAAAUCCUUAUUCCACGAUAAUGCCGUUCCAGUCAGAGAUUCAGCGUGCUUGGAAGAGGCUGAGAAAGCAGCUCAGUCUCUUAACGAGAAGGGGAGCCUCAGCAAUUACUUUGUAUCCUGUAGAGGCAUUCCACUGUUCUGUAUCCCAGACUUGGUGCCUUCAUCUCUCAGCUUCUCUUCCCUCCCUCCUUCCCUUAGCUCACGUAUCACCAUUUUCUGUCUGGUAAUAGGACUUGAUGGACCCAGAUGAUUUUGGCUGUGGAAAUAUAACCUAUGAGCUCUUGAUCUCUCUGACAGAAGAGCCUGCUUGUUGCACAUUGUACCCUACUGAUCUGUGGUAACCCAUGACUGCUUGGAAAAAUCUUCCUUCAGUUAAAUGAUGAAGAGAAAACCUUGGCAGUUUUUCUGUCACUCUGUGAAGUGAACAAGUCUGACUUACAGUUUCAAAUAAAGACCUAUUUAAAUACUGC